Non-coding RNA from Triticum urartu, 2302 nucleotides. The record is from RefSeq and is a predicted model, not a curated record. NCBI's taxonomy places the organism in Eukaryota, Viridiplantae, Streptophyta, Magnoliopsida, Poales, Poaceae.
AACGCCCAUCCGUUUCUCCCACAUCAGCUUCUCCUCUUCCUGUUUAGCCGCCGCCGCCUCCCCUUCCACCAUGGCCGCCGCCCCCUCCCCUUCCACCGUGGCCGCCGCCCCCUAUCGCCCGACGGCGAGCCCGCCCUCCCGUCCCCUUUCCUCUGGUCGCCCUCACGCACUGCAUCGCCUCCUGGUCGCCCUCUCUCUCUCCCUCCCUCCCUCUCUCUCUGUAUUCCCCCCUGCCCCCACCACCACGGCCAACUCCGGCGAGGUCCGUCGCCAUACAGCACAUCCACGAGCUCAUCUCGUGACGCUGCUCCUUCUCCACCGCGUUGACCCGACGCACCUCCCCUCUACGCGCGGCCCCGGCUAACCCUAGCGCCACGGUCGCCGGUCCACGGCGUCGCCAUCAACGCCGGCGCUGCGCCCGCACCUCCGGUUGGUCCUCCCCAACCCCGUCCGAACUUUCGCGCACUGCAUCGCCUCCUGGUCGCUGUCCAGGCGUCGCCAUCGACUGGAGGAGCGCGGGACCGUCGUCCUCGCGUUCGUGCACCUCCAGGAAGAAGACUGCUCGAGGUGAGACGCCUCGGAUCCGUCGUGCGAAGGUGGAGCUUGACAUAUAGGUUAGUGUAUGUGUGUGUGCAGCAGCUCCAGAGGGACGAACGUCAAGGUAGCCACUGCUCCGUAGCUGGUCUGGGAUAUGAGUACGGCCCUUGAUUCGUGCCGCCUGUUUUCUCUGCCGAAGUCGUGGUUGCGUGGAUGUGGCAAUGGUCGAAGGGUCGUCACCAGGGUGGCACCGGCGCCUCCCUUCCCUCUCCCCUAGAUCUGGAAGGUACCGUCUCGGGCUUCCCAGAUCUGUUGGAUCAAAAAUUGUGGGUGAUGGAAUCAAAAUUUGUUGGAUCAGAAAUUGCGGUUGAUGGAAUUAAAACUUGGAUGUGAUCAAAUUAGAGAGGACAUGGCGUACUGAUUACUGAAAGGAAUCUGUGAGUUCCUGCAAGAUGCAUCUCCAACAUUUCUUGUGCAGCUUUCUCCUGGAACCGUUGUUAUGAACCAAUCAACUCUUUGAGAAUUAAAGUUUGCCAACCUCGCCUGUUCGAACUUCGAACCCAAGAUGCCACUGCUUCUUCUAGGUCCCGCAGCUUGAUCCGCCAAGAGCAGGCUGGAGGAGGAAGCAGAGAGGGAGAUGGGAGAGGGAGAGGAGAUCUCGGCCUGCACACUGCACCUCGCAUCUCCCACAAGCUACAACAACAGGAGAACCGUAUACACAGCAUCCUUCUCAAAGCCUGCAGCUACUGCCUCCCCAAGCAAUGCCAACUUGCAGCAACAAGGCACCUGUUUCAUAUAAUUAUAGUUGCAACUAAUAAGGUCGUCAAUUUUACUGAGGUCCAUAAGAUAAUAAUAUCUCCAUUAAGAUGUGCAAUGAAACAUCGAAGAGGCUUACAUCCUUGUGAUUCCUCAUGACUCGGAAGGAGGAGCACGGGCCGUAGAGACGGAAGAGGAGGUUGAGACAGUCACGGCGCCUGCUGCAAUGACCACGGCCACUACAUGAAAAGAAAGGUACUAACUAAACUACAUCAUAUUCCUAGAAUGUAGUAGCAGGUGAAUUUCCUGCUUAGCACCCUGGAGUCAUGGACAGAUUUCAGGACUCCAGGCAAUAAUUUCAGUCCAAAUUGCAUUGCUUUUGGCAUAACUAAUUCCACUGCAUUUUGUUAUUGCUUGGACCAACUGCUAUGUACUGAACCUAUUUAUAUCUAUGUCAUCCUUCUGAUGUACUCCCUCUGUCCGAAAAUUCUUGUCUUAGAUUUGUCUAGAUACGGAUGUAUCUAAUACUAAAACGUGACUUGAUACAUUCGUAUUUAGACAAAUCUAAGACAAGAAUUUUGGGACGGAGGGAGUAGCUUGCUAUAUUAGAUUGGUCAUUUUCUACAAUCAUUCUAAUUUCCCUUUGCGCCGUUGGGUAUUUACAUACAUAUAUAAUCUACCUUGAUAUAGACCUAUGACAUUGUUAGGGUAAAAUGGUCAUUGCAUUUAGAUCCUUACAAAAAUAAAUUGUUGUAUGUCUGUCUCGGGUUUUUUAUAUUCAUUGGGAUGCUGGUGUUUUAAAGGCAUUAGGUUCCUGGUAUUUUAAGUGAGAAAAAUUGAUCACAUAUGUCAGCUAUUCAUAUUCAUCUGAACUGAUUAAUUUAUUUUGACUGCUGUUUCUUUCUACAGACAACAAAAUCUAUUAGGCCUACUUGUAAGUGCAUCUAGUGCCAUCCCUAGUUGGUUUUGGAGUAUUGACGACAAACCUAAUUGAGAGACUAAUGUGUUU